Molecule: ribosomal RNA, 254 nt
Filed under: uncultured bacterium
Lineage: Bacteria
Description: partial 16S ribosomal RNA
Rfam family: Bacterial small subunit ribosomal RNA
Source: RNAcentral
UACGUAGGGUGCAAGCGUUGUCCGGAAUUAUUGGGCGUAAAGGGCUCGUAGGCGGUUUGUCGCGUCGGGAGUGAAAACUCAGGGCUUAACCCUGAGCCUGCUUCCGAUACGGGCAGACUAGAGGUAUGCAGGGGAGAACGGAAUUCCUGGUGUAGCGGUGAAAUGCGCAGAUAUCAGGAGGAACACCGGUGGCGAAGGCGGUUCUCUGGGCAUUACCUGACGCUGAGGAACGAAAGCCAGGGGAGCGAAACGGG